RNAcentral lists this ribosomal RNA (555 nucleotides) under uncultured bacterium. RNAcentral's name for it is "partial 16S ribosomal RNA". It matches the Rfam family "Bacterial small subunit ribosomal RNA", at positions 355 to 932 of the family's 1533-position model. The record is from RNAcentral.
UGGGGAAUAUUGCACAAUGGGCGAAAGCCUGAUGCAGCAACGCCGCGUGAGUGAUGAAGGCCUUCGGGUUGUAAAGCUCUGUCUUUUGGGACGAUAAUGACGGUACCAAAGGAGGAAGCCACGGCUAACUACGUGCCAGCAGCCGCGGUAAUACGUAGGUGGCAAGCGUUGUCCGGAUUUACUGGGCGUAAAGGAUGCGUAGGCGGAUUUUUAAGUGAGAUGUGAAAACCCUAAGCUUAACUUGGGGACUGCAUUUCAUACUGGAAAUCUAGAGUGCGGGAGAGGAGAAUGGAAUUCCUAGUGUAGCGGUGAAAUGCGUAGAGAUUAGGAAGAACACCAGUGGCGAAGGCGAUUCUCUGGACCGUAACUGACGCUGAGGCAUGAAAGCGUGGGUAGCAAACAGGGUUAGAUACCCUGGUAGUCCACGCCGUAAACGAUGAGUACUAGGUGUAGGAGGUAUCGACCCUUCUGUGCCGCAGUUAACACAAUAAGUACUCCGCCUGGGAAGUACGAUCGCAAGAUUAAAACUCAAAUGAAUUGACGGGGUCAUAGCUG